This 207-nucleotide ribosomal RNA is filed under the name uncultured bacterium. RNAcentral describes it as "partial 16S ribosomal RNA". It matches the Rfam family "Bacterial small subunit ribosomal RNA", at positions 568 to 774 of the family's 1533-position model. The record is from RNAcentral.
AGCGCAGGCGGUUUGAUAAGUCUGAAGUAAAAGGCUGUGGCUUAACCAUAGUAUGCUUUGGAAACUGUCAAACUUGAGUGCAGAAGGGGAGAGUGGAAUUCCAUGUGUAGCGGUGAAAUGCGUAGAUAUAUGGAGGAACACCGGUGGCGAAAGCGGCUCUCUGGUCUGUAACUGACGCUGAGGCUCGAAAGGCGUGGGGGCGAAACA